UUGAAGAGAUGAUGUAUGAACCUGCCAAUCCCUGAGUGUAGUCAUUGAUGUCUCCAUGUGGCUGAGCAA
RNAcentral lists this small nucleolar RNA (69 nucleotides) under Meriones unguiculatus (Mongolian gerbil). RNAcentral describes it as "Small nucleolar RNA SNORD110 (ENSMUGG00000004210.1)". Lineage: Eukaryota; Metazoa; Chordata; Mammalia; Rodentia; Muridae. The record is from RNAcentral.